RNAcentral lists this transfer RNA (84 nucleotides) under Bacteroidetes bacterium SW_11_45_7. RNAcentral describes it as "tRNA-Leu". It matches the Rfam family "tRNA". Rfam says of the family: Transfer RNA (tRNA) molecules are approximately 80 nucleotides in length. The record is from RNAcentral. Lineage: Bacteria; Pseudomonadati; Bacteroidota.
GCCGGAGUGGCGGAAUUGGUAGACGCGCAUGUUUCAGGGACAUGUGGCCCUUCGGCCGUGUGGGUUCAAGUCCCACCUCCGGCA